GUACGGCCUCAAACAUGCAUUUGAGUAAAUAGAAUCUAUUACUACUACCUAUAGUUUUAUGCUGGUAACUAGAACUUGAACCAUAUUGACACAUUAAUACUAAAGAAUUUACAUUUCUAAUUUUAUUGUAAAUAUGUUUUUGCCCAUUCUCAGCAAUCCAGAAGUCAAGCAAUAUCCCUCUGCAAUAUUGACCAACAACACCACUCAAAAAGUCGCCCUUUAUUUCAUUAUCUUGCCACAAACUCACAGCUUUCAGCAAGUAGUUUUGCAUCUGUUAAUCAAGAACAAGCUGCCAUUUAUGUUAAAAAUAUAAUGAUUAUCUAAGCCUAUAGCUCUAUAAGUAAAAAAUGUCUUCAUUUUGUCCAAAACUGUUUUGCUUUGAUAAAAUAUAGUGAAAAUAAUCAACUACAAGCUAGAUUUUAGCAUUUGGCAUUGUGACAGUCUCUCUUUUUUGUUUCUGUGUUUACACACAAAUAAAUACUAUAGUAAUUUAUCCUAAAAAUGAUGGUGAUGGUGUUUUUAAAACCACGCUAUAGUAAAUUAUAUUAUACUAUAUGUUAUUUGCAACACUUCAAUAAUAGAUGCUACAGCAUGCUGUAGUAUUAUGUACUCGUCAACUGAUAAACUAAUAAAUACUGUAGUAAACUGAAGGUUUUAUUGGCCUAUGUAGCUCCUCAAAUACGGAUAAUUUACAGCAGUGUAUAAGCAACAAAACAUACACAAAUAUUUCAGAUUUAAUGCCAAGGUCAUAACCAGAACUGAUUUUACUAUUUUAAAGUUUUCAGAGAGAAAUAUAAAACAAUUUAAUAGUAUUUUUGCAAUUGUGCAACUUGUUUUUGUCUAGAAAGUCACAUGCUAUAUUGUGUGGUUAAACUCAGCUGAAGCGAAAAAAACAAAACCAGAAACAAUGUCCUUUUAUAUGGUCUCUUGAAAACUAAUGACAAACAGCAUCAGUCAGCUAUGUUUUUGACCGCAGAAGAGUGAAAAUGCACUUUUUGUGGUUCACUAGUUUUGACACAAUAAUAUGUCCUCCUUCAUAUAUGCUGUUAAAAGUGCACAAGAUUAACACUGAAGGAUCUGGAGAUUUCUUUCUUUACCAGUAAAUCUCCUUUAUAUCAAGAUCACAUUAUAAUAACAUCAGCUCCUAAUGUUACUGCUAAGUUUGUAGACUCAGUGGCUUUAAACCACAACAGACCUGCGAGAGAAACACAUUUAUUGAGGUAUGAAAUUAAAACAAAACCCAUAUAACCAAAUGUUUAGAGGAAACUCACAGAUUAGAAGCUUUGAGAUCUUUAUGGUCUGAACCUGAUGAAUCUGGAACACUGAGAUCAUUUAAACAUCUGUGAGUGGAAACACAACAGUAGAUCUGCAUCACUCGCUACAGGCGAGUUUGUUUUUUGAUUAUUGUGUCUUGAAAAUGUAAAUAAUCAAAAUUUUCUUGAAAAAUUUAUUGCCAAUGUGAGUGAGAUCAAAAUAGCGUAUUAUUUAAAUUGUUACCAAAAUGCUGUAAGUUUGCUUCACCACAAGAUGGCGGCGGAAUGACCGAGUAAGUAAAUAAUCGAUUUUGUUUUGAGUUCAUCACAUAUCAGGAUCAAAUUCGGAGUUGACGUUUUUAGUGUUCAUAGUGAGUGUUGUGAGUCUAAGAUUCAUAUUAUUUUGCUUUAGUGCUUCAGUCAAUCUAAUCUGAACUUCUGGGGGGAAUUGACUCCGUGUAGCUUUUUACUCUAUGCGACAUGAGGAGUUUUCAGCUUCAGCUCUAUGUAUUGAUCUGUUGUCAAGCAGGAGUGGCAGAUCUACUAACUGCUCUGGGAUCAAAUGUAACCAUAAACUGUGAUCUUGAUGAAAAUGACGUUUAUUGGAUCUUACAGAAAACUCCAGAUCCUCCAACAGUGAUUCUGCGAUCAUUCUCAACACCAGCAUCAUCUUUAUACUUGAAUAAAUCAUUCAGGAUCAAAUAUUCAGUGCAGUUUAAACAUCGUCUGGUUAUUAACAACCUUACUGCUGAUGAAUUAGGACUUUAUUACUGUAUGAGCACACGCACACCUCCACAAUUCAGCAGCAGCACCAGAUUAUACAUCACAACCGGUCAACUAACGGAAUUAGAUUAGUGUCUUAAUCAUACAGCAGAGGUGUUUAUGGAUCAGAAUCAAACACAAUGGCAGAUUAUUGGCUUCAUAUCUGCUCUGAUGUGUGGCUGUCUGCUCAUUGUGCUGAUUGUUUCAUCUUUAGUUUUUGCUGCUGGAAAAACAGAGGGGCUGGAAAAACACAUUCAUGCUGCUGAUAUACUGCGGACUCAAGUUACAUAUCAACCUCAAGACUCAAACAAAUCAGAUGCGUGUAAUAUCACUCUUGAUCCAAAUACUGCACAUGAAAUGCUCUCAGUUGCAGAGGACAACAAAACAUUGGUGCGUAACUCAGAGCCGAUGAUUUAUCCUGAUCAACCAGACAGAUUCACUGGCCUCCCACAGAUUCUGUGUAAAGAGCGUCUGUCUGGACGCUGCUACUGAGAGGCCGAGUGGAAAGGACUGGGUGACAUGGUGGUGUCUUAUGGAGGAAUCGGCAGGAAAGGAGAAAGUCUUGAUUGUCGAUUCGGAGCCAAUGACAAGUCCUGGAUUCUGAGCUGCUUUAUUGGAGAGAAACUGAUUGCCUGGCAUGAUAACAGGGGGGUUUAUAUUCCUCUCCCAACAACUCCCUAUAACAGAAUUGGAGUGUUUCUGGAUGAGCCGGCCGGCAUUUUGUCCGUCUUCAGUGUCCCUGAUGAAAACACACUUAAUCACUUGUACAUGUCAAAACCAAAUUUACUGAACCCCUCUAUGCUGGAUUUGUGCUUUAUACAGAGUCAGUAGCCCCUUUCACACAUACAGACCUUUCCGGAAAAUUGCCGGCAAUUUUCUGGAAAGGUUGUAUGUGUGAACCGCUGUACUACAGAAUUUCGGAAGCUUAA
Molecule: non-coding RNA, 2944 nt
Organism: Danio rerio (zebrafish)
Lineage: Eukaryota; Metazoa; Chordata; Actinopteri; Cypriniformes; Danionidae
Source: RefSeq, a predicted model, not a curated record